This 73-nucleotide transfer RNA is filed under the name Stenodactylus doriae. RNAcentral's name for it is "tRNA-Asn". It matches the Rfam family "tRNA". From Rfam's summary of the family: Transfer RNA (tRNA) molecules are approximately 80 nucleotides in length. The record is from RNAcentral. Lineage: Eukaryota; Metazoa; Chordata; Lepidosauria; Squamata; Gekkonidae.
UAGGCCAAAGCCCGCUGGAUAGGGCGUCUAGUUGUUAAUUAGAUACUUCCGGGAUCGAGCCCCGGUGGCCUAG